AUGCAAGUCGAACGGUAGAAAGGUGCUUGCACCUUUUGAGAGUGGCGGACGGGUGAGUAACACGUAGGUAAUCUACCUAGAAGUUGGGGAUAGCCUGUGGAAACACAGGGUAAUACCGAAUGAGACCAUGUAAAUGGUGAAAGAGGCUAAGGCCUCGCUUUUAGUUGAGCCUGCGGCUCAUUAGCUAGUUGGUGGGGUAACGGCCUACCAAGGCGACGAUGAGUAGCCGGCCUGAGAGGGCGACCGGUCACACUGGGACUGAGACACGGCCCAGACUCCUACGGGAGGCAGCAGCUAAGAAUCUUCCGCAAUGGUCGAAAGGCUGACGGAGCGACGCCGCGUGGACGAAGAAGGCCGGAAGGUUGUAAAGUCCUUUUCUCAGAGAAGAAUAAUGUGGGAGGGAAUGCCCUACAGAUGACGUUAUCUGAGGAAGAAGCCCCGGCUAAUUACGUGCCAGCAGACGAGGUAACACGUAAGGGGCAAGCGUUGUUCGGAAUUAUUGGGCGUAAAGGGCACAUAGGCAGCUGAGCAAGCCUGGUGUGAAAGGACACAGAUUAACUGUGGGAGUGCGCUGGGAA
Molecule: ribosomal RNA, 578 nt
Filed under: uncultured organism
Description: bacterial SSU rRNA
Rfam family: Bacterial small subunit ribosomal RNA
Source: RNAcentral